UCCAUGAUCUUCUGGCCCGUACAGUCU
This 27-nucleotide non-coding RNA is filed under the name Rattus norvegicus (Norway rat). Lineage: Eukaryota; Metazoa; Chordata; Mammalia; Rodentia; Muridae. The record is from RNAcentral.